Molecule: small RNA, 76 nt
Filed under: Flavobacterium saccharophilum
Lineage: Bacteria; Pseudomonadati; Bacteroidota; Flavobacteriia; Flavobacteriales; Flavobacteriaceae
Description: Flavo-1 RNA
Rfam family: Flavo-1 RNA
Source: RNAcentral
CCCUAGCCCAGACAGAAGCGGCAUCCUUUUGGGGCGGGGUUCGCCCCAAAAGAUAUAGCGGAUGGCUGGAAACAGC